GUAAGUGAAAUACCUUUUUUUAUCUUGGCUUCUACCACAUCCACCCUCCUGGUUAUGUUCCUGGCUCCUUCUGCUACUGCUUGGCCUCUCAUCUCAGCUGUUCCUACUCUACCCAAGAAGAAAAAUUUCCUAGUGCUCAGUCUUGGGCCUUCUUUUUGUUUUUCUACCUAGGGAAUCUCACUCAUUCUUGUGGUUUUAAUAUUAAGUGUCAGCUCCUCACUUCACAUACUCCAACCUGACCUCUGAAAUCCAGACUUCUCAACCACUGAGGCCUUAUCUUACAUUCUAUGUGAAGCUGGGUGCCCUUCCCUGACAUUUCUCUUCUUUAUAUCUGUGUCUUGCUAGACAGAAACUUCCAUAUGGCCAAAUCCAUGUUUACUUUCUUCAGUCUCAUAUGUCUCAAAAGAGUUCUUAACAAGGUCUUGCUAAGUUGCCCAGGCUGGUUUUGAAAUUGUGAUCCUCCUGUUUCAGUCUCCUGAGCUGAAGCUCAGGUGGGAUUACAGUAGCAGGAACCACAUGAAGAGUUUAAUAAAGGGGGACCAGCAUUAUAAAGAAGGUGAUGUACCUGAAGGAGCUCACAUGUAAGACAUACAGCCAGGCUUCAUAAGAGACCUGAAAAGCAGAAGCUGGAAAGUCAGAACCCUGAUUGGAGCUACUUCUCAAGGGUGUACCAUCUCUCCAUCCUGCGCCUCUCUGCACUUCCAUGUUAAGGAGAUUGAAAUAGGGUCCUUGCGCUUGCAAGGCAGGUGUUGGAACCACUGAGCUAAAUCCCUGGCCCAUGAAGGUCUAUUUUCAAGUCACAGACCAAGACUUGUACAGGAUGGUAGAAGAAAAUCUUCUGGAUUAGAAACCUCCUUCCCGCAGCAUGCAAGAUGCUCCUAUCAACCUGGUGAGAGGAUCAUUUUGACCAAUGAUUCUUACCCAGUGGUAUUCAAUCUUCUGAGGCCACAGAGCCCUUCUGUGGUAAGUGCAGACCACCUCCCCAGAAAAACAAC
This 995-nucleotide long non-coding RNA is filed under the name Heterocephalus glaber (naked mole-rat). Its description in RNAcentral is "lncRNA (ENSHGLG00000046266.1)". The record is from RNAcentral. Lineage: Eukaryota; Metazoa; Chordata; Mammalia; Rodentia; Bathyergidae.